This 72-nucleotide transfer RNA is filed under the name Camelus bactrianus (Bactrian camel). It matches the Rfam family "tRNA". Rfam says of the family: Transfer RNA (tRNA) molecules are approximately 80 nucleotides in length. Their secondary structure includes four short double-helical elements and three loops (D, anti-codon, and T loops). Further hydrogen bonds mediate the characteristic L-shaped molecular structure. tRNAs have two regions of fundamental functional importance: the anti-codon, which is responsible for specific mRNA codon recognition, and the 3' end, to which the tRNAs corresponding amino acid is attached (by aminoacyl-tRNA synthetases). tRNAs cope with the degeneracy of the genetic code in two manners: having more than one tRNA (with a specific anti-codon) for a particular amino acid; and 'wobble' base-pairing, i.e. permitting non-standard base-pairing at the 3rd anti-codon position. RNAcentral also lists the same sequence under 2 other names. The record is from Rfam by way of RNAcentral. Lineage: Eukaryota; Metazoa; Chordata; Mammalia; Artiodactyla; Camelidae.
AGGGAAAUAGCUCAGUGGUAGAGCACAUGCUUAGCAUGCACAAGGUCCUGAGUUCAAUUCCCAGUACCUCCA